Molecule: ribosomal RNA, 1372 nt
Filed under: uncultured bacterium
Lineage: Bacteria
Description: bacterial SSU rRNA
Rfam family: Bacterial small subunit ribosomal RNA
Source: RNAcentral
GAUGAACGCUGGCGGCGUGCCUAAUACAUGCAAGUCGAGCGAACGGACGAGAAGCUUGCUUCUCUGAUGUUAGCGGCGGACGGGUGAGUAACACGUGGAUAACCUACCUAUAAGACUGGGAUAACUUCGGGAAACCGGAGCUAAUACCGGAUAAUAUUUUGAACCGCAUGGUUCAAAAGUGAAAGACGGUCUUGCUGUCACUUAUAGAUGGAUCCGCGCUGCAUUAGCUAGUUGGUAAGGUAACGGCUUACCAAGGCAACGAUGCAUAGCCGACCUGAGAGGGUGAUCGGCCACACUGGAACUGAGACACGGUCCAGACUCCUACGGGAGGCAGCAGUAGGGAAUCUUCCGCAAUGGGCGAAAGCCUGACGGAGCAACGCCGCGUGAGUGAUGAAGGUCUUCGGAUCGUAAAACUCUGUUAUUAGGGAAGAACAUAUGUGUAAGUAACUGUGCACAUCUUGACGGUACCUAAUCAGAAAGCCACGGCUAACUACGUGCCAGCAGCCGCGGUAAUACGUGGGUGGCAAGCGUUAUCCGGAAUUAUUGGGCGUAAAGCGCGCGUAGGCGGUUUUUUAAGUCUGAUGUGAAAGCCCACGGCUCAACCGUGGAGGGUCAUUGGAAACUGGAAAACUUGAGUGCAGAAGAGGAAAGUGGAAUUCCAUGUGUAGCGGUGAAAUGCGCAGAGAUAUGGAGGAACACCAGUGGCGAAGGCGACUUUCUGGUCUGUAACUGACGCUGAUGUGCGAAAGCGUGGGGAUCAAACAGGAUUAGAUACCCUGGUAGUCCACGCCGUAAACGAUGAGUGCUAAGUGUUAGGGGGUUUCCGCCCCUUAGUGCUGCAGCUAACGCAUUAAGCACUCCGCCUGGGGAGUACGACCGCAAGGUUGAAACUCAAAGGAAUUGACGGGGACCCGCACAAGCGGUGGAGCAUGUGGUUUAAUUCGAAGCAACGCGAAGAACCUUACCAAAUCUUGACAUCCUUUGACAACUCUAGAGAUAGAGCUUUCCCCUUCGGGGGACAAAGUGACAGGUGGUGCAUGGUUGUCGUCAGCUCGUGUCGUGAGAUGUUGGGUUAAGUCCCGCAACGAGCGCAACCCUUAAGCUUAGUUGCCAUCAUUAAGUUGGGCACUCUAAGUUGACUGCCGGUGACAAACCGGAGGAAGGUGGGGAUGACGUCAAAUCAUCAUGCCCCUUAUGAUUUGGGCUACACACGUGCUACAAUGGACAAUACAAAGGGCAGCGAAACCGCGAGGUCAAGCAAAUCCCAUAAAGUUGUUCUCAGUUCGGAUUGUAGUCUGCAACUCGACUACAUGAAGCUGGAAUCGCUAGUAAUCGUAGAUCAGCAUGCUACGGUGAAUACGUUCCCGGGUCU